AGUAAACAAAAAUUCAGGUAGCACACUUAUCAGACAGGGUCUCUCUGUGUUCAAUGCCAUACUAGGGAACAGAGCAAAGCAUGGUGUCACACUCCUUUAAGGCCAGUACCAAACACAAAGACACGUAGUUCUCUACAGACAUACAAUGUAAAAAGAGAUAGCUGGGCUAUUAUAGCCAAUUAAUGGGCAUAAGAAAAAGGCAAUAAGAGCAUGUGUAAGAGGCCAAGUAGCUUGCAUUUGGAAGCUGCAGGGUUGGUGAGGUAAGGUUUGCUUGUGACUUUUCCCAUUUCCCUGAUCUCUAAGUCUUCACCCCUAUAUUUGGCACUGUGUUUUUUAUUUUAUGAUACCAUUUAGAAACUGGUCUACAUGCAGGUCUUCAAUCAGGAGGUAUAUUCUAUUAGGCUUCUCAACUCUAAGAGAUGUUAAAAGGAGAAGAAUUUCGAUAAAGUAGCAUCUUUCUGAGAAGUUCAAGGAUAACAGGCUUAAAUCCUCUAAGGCUCUGGGGUAAAAGAGUGUACUGAAUUUGAGUGAUAUACCAGGUAGGGUGCUGGAACUGGAUAACAAUAGAGUGAUAGUUUCUAGCAACAGAAGGGUUCUGGCUAUCCAAGACCAUGGGGUAUACAUGAGAGAUUGAAAGGGAAAUGUCAUGUCAGAGGUAGUGUGCUGAGUGCCAAGAAGGAGGAGGAUAAGAGCUGCUGACAAAUCUGGGGUAGGGAAAUAUGGGCUCUAAUGAACUAGAAGCUAGUGCCUUAGCAAAAAAAAUUCUUCCCAUUAAGCACACAGGGCAGGUUUCCACAUACUAAACUGUGUGUAAGAGAUAUUCCCAUGAACAUACAUUUAAGUCAUGGGUUUUGGUGAGGUAAGUUAAUAUGUCCCUCUACCCAGAAAACAGGGAGAUUGGAAUGACAGGUAAGACUGCAAAACUCCCACAGGAUGCAGUAAGGGCCUCCAGUGUCCAAAGGAGGGAAAUGGAUUAUCCAUAUAUAAUAAUGGCUACUCUAGCUUUGGGUAUGACAUGAAUGUUGUUGGGUAAGGACCUCGUUAGUUUCAAACAUCACUUAACACUGUAGGAGAUUGCCUGUAUGUUGGUUUUCGAUUGAUGUCCUAAUGCCAUCAGUUACACAAGGUCAGUCAACUAACCUAUGUCCAUAUCAAUAGCGUUUUAGAUGAGGCCCAGGGGACCUACAUUGACAGGGGUUGGCUCAAGCCUAGUGGCUUUCUUUACAAAUUUAAAAACAGAAACCUGGAGGCCUUCAUGUGGCUGUUCAGAUAGACUGUGCUAGAUUUGACAGUCUUGUUUUCAGGUUUAUUCAUAUCGCACAUAGUUAUGUCAUGCAGGAACAUAAAGUAUGUAAUUAAGCUGCAUACAGGUUACAUAAUCCCAUACCAUAGGGUAACUUAGUAGGCAAGGACCUGGUAUGCCUAAGCUAUCUUCCUGACUGAUGGACAGAGGAUGCACAGUCAUGUAGUUAGGGGUUGAUUGGUACACAUAACACCACAAUAGACCAUAAGGCAGUAAUUUACUGUUGGAGUGAGAACCCAUGGUAAUUUCAUUUUAUAAUGUUUUCCUUUUUCAGUUUCCUUGCUCCUUUUACAACACACAGGAAGGAGGGAGAGACAGAUGAGUCACAGCUCUAAUGGAGAUGUCCAAAAUCAUUGCCAUCAUUUGCUUUCCCUUCUACUUUAGACAGCUCUCUUCUUAUUGGUUGUAUGUUUGAAUAUGAGUCAGACAGAUGGAAUAAAAAGGCUUGCAGUCCACAGUUUCACUAGCCAGGCUUCUGGCUAAAUUCCAGCUCGUAGCUGGAUUUAGCCAAAGCCUGACUGGAAACAACACAGGAGAGUGAUAACUGUCCCAGAGAACUGCAGCAGACAGAGGCAAUAGAAACAAAGGAUAGGCAGGGAUUGGGUCGGAUUUCUGACACUUCUGCUCUGAGACACCUGCAUCUGUUUGCUCUGCUGGAUAUGUGAUCCUUCCUCUGAAUCUACUGCUUCAGCUUUAAUAUUUGUGGUCACUACCUAAGAUUUGAAUCCUCCACUAUCUGCAAGGAUGGCUUACAUUGGGAAAAAAAAACCUGACAGAAACCAGGGAUGCAUUAAUAUUAUAUCCCCUCAGAGGAGCCAUUAAGGAAAUGACUGUAUCAGUGACAAUUAUCACUUAGCCCCCUGGGACUCUAUGAAAAUUUCAAGUGUCAGAUUCCACAAAUAAGUGCAUUUGUGGAAUCUAAAAUGGUAUAUGGGAAACUGUUAUCUGAAAGGUACAAUUUGCAUCCCAGAAUCACAAUAAGCCAUCAGCCUGUGGAAAGUGAGGCUGUUAGGUAGAUAGCCCGGAAACAGGGACAAGUACCUGGGUAUGUGAUCAACCUCUAAUUACCACGGGAUGCUUUUCUCUUUUCAGAAUUGCAUUCUGGGCAGUCUAGCAUUCAUUACAUCAUUUCCUGUCUUCCACUUUCAGUUUUGUUGUUUCGGCUGCAGUGCACAUUGGUUUGGGAGGGUGAAAUGACUCAGCAGCUCUGAAGGAGAUCUCAAAGAGUAACACAGGAUUUGCUUUCCAUUGCUGAAAUUGAGCUCAACCUCCAUAUUGUUUCCUGUGGGUUGGGCCAUGCCCCACCCCCUCAUUUGUCCAGAGGUUUCUCGAGUAGAACCUGCAGGAAGUAUUAUUUAAAAUGAUAUAGGUAAGUGAAUCAGAUAGAAAAUACAGGAUUGCUUUGAGAAUGCAUGUCUCCUAAUCCAUCCAGCAUACUGUCUCUGCCCUAGGUUAUUUAAAGGAAGGCCAAGUUGUGGAGAAAGGACCUCACCUCUGUACAGAAAAGUGUAGACCAUCUCAGAUUCCUGCCCUCAGGGCCAUGGUCCAAUCAUCCUUCUAAGUAGAAGUGCUAGGUAAAGACUAAAUUAGCUCUAUCAGGUUUCUGUUACAAACAAAAUUUGAAAGCACACACUCCUCAAUCAGAGGAAAUGGGAGCAAAUAAAAUUUUUAGCAGAGCAUGUUCUCACCAAUCAGCCUCUUGUUGUAUUAAGGUUCUCAGUUUCUCAUGGAUAUAAUUAUAAUCUGAAUUUACAUUGGCACAGAAAAUGCAGCUUGUUCCUUACAUAGAAGGGGAGACAGACUCCAUGGAAAUUAGCAAAGUCAAAGAUUGUAUGUUUCCUAGGAUUACAGAUCUGAGUCACAUGAUCCUGUCAAAUGUGUAGCAAGCAGAUGCCUGCUUCUGCAGCUACAGCUUCUUUUUAAAGAUGUGGGCUCACUGUCUCCGUUUGAUUUCACUUCAGGUUUUUGUAUCUGGCUGAGACUUGGGGAGUCCUGCUCUUUCAUUCUUCUGAAGCCACUGCUAUCCUUAAGGGUAUGGCAUCCCUGUAUCUGUAUUGAUGUGCUGCUCUAGAAACAAGGGAGUUAAUUCUCUUGAGCCUUUAUUAUCUGGCAGAGAGUAGUGAAAUCCUACCCUUUCCUCUAACCUGGGAGAGUUAUUGUGGAAAUGGCAAUAGCAUUUUAGUUUUAUUCAGAAAACGUAGAGUCAUUGAAAAUAUGGAGCAUUAAUAUCUGCAGAUACUUCUCUAUCUGUCACCAAAGGCAAAAUGCAUUGAAAAAUAAAGCAUAUCACAGGAAACGUACUUCUUAUAACAUGUUGCCAUUUAGGUAAUCACAAAUUCAAAUUUGCAUUCUUGGUUUGCAUUAUCAAAGUGUUCUGGCAUUCAGAAUAUCAUGUAGGUGAUUUUUCCUACUUCUCAGCCCAUUCCUAUGUAUGAAACCAAACAGGUCAUUAGCUUUGUUGUAAAUCAAUUAUUUAUUGAUAAUGACAGAGACAUAUUCAAUACUUCCCUUGAUAAUGAUAAACACCAAUGAUUCCUUUUUGUUGAAUAUUUCUUUUAGUAUGCUUUGAAGCAGUGCAGAACUUAUCUCCCCUCAGACUCUGAAUUCCUAUGUCUGAUAGUAAAUUUAAUAGUGGAAAACUAUGGUAUGUUGGAAUCAGCAACAACCUCUGAAUCUUUUGAAAGCAUUCUGCCAUCUUUUCAUUACAAAUAUCUGUGAUUCUCAGGUAGAGAUGAACACAUUAAAGAUCAGAACAUGGUGCUUUUAAGUGUCUCACGCUCUUUAGAAAACCCUUGUCUGUAAUCAUUGUGUUGUUUCCCAAUUAUUGCCUGAAGUAAUAUCUCUUAUUAGGGCCAAGUGAUGCAUAUAUAUUUGAGUACAUCAAUGUUAUUAGGACUCUAUUUAUUUCUAUAUGACUCUGGCAGAAGGAAUAAACUAUUUUUGUAAAAUCUGUCACCAUUCUGGUCUCAGGUUCCUGGCCCUUUUCAAACCCAUGCUCCUUUUUUAAUUUUUAUUACAUAACUUUUGAUCAAGUAUAUACAUAUGUUAGUCAUCUAUUACAUUCAAUAUGAGGCAGAACCUACAAUCAUUUUCAUAACUUUAAUUUUUUAAACCUGCUUUAAAAUUUUUGGUCAAACAUAUAAGUAUCACCAAUAUUCAUGUUAAUUUUUUUUCUUAUUUUUAUGCUUCUUUUAGCACACAUAUUAUAAAAUCUAUUCAAAUUAAAGAAAUAGACAAAAACAAUCAUUAAAUAUGGAAAUUAUUGUGAAAACAAUGUAAUCAAUUCAGUGUUCAUUGGUUAUUGAACGCUUAUAUACUCAGUACAGGAUUAUGUUGAUCAUACAUGUAAUUAAGUUUGAAGGGAUAUAAUUUGGAGUGUGAAGAGAGACAGAAACUUAUUGGGUUGGGGUGUAUGGAAAAUAUUGUGACACAGGAAUGCCUAGUUCACAUAUGUCUGGAAAUGUUUGAUGAUAUAACUGCACAAAACACAGAGACAUGUACAUGUUUGUGCCUUUGUUGAUUUGUUAUUCUUUAAUAUACCUUUUGAGCCUUGGGACAAACAACUGCCAUAUAUUAUUAA
Long non-coding RNA from Peromyscus leucopus (white-footed mouse), 4883 nucleotides. RefSeq lists it as uncharacterized. The record is from RefSeq and is a predicted model, not a curated record. The transcript is spliced from 2 exons. NCBI's taxonomy places the organism in Eukaryota, Metazoa, Chordata, Mammalia, Rodentia, Cricetidae.